AAAGUUGCAAAGAACUUUGAAGAGAGAGUUCAAAAGGACGUGAAACCGCUUAGAAGCAAACGGAUGGAGCAGACAUUAAGUCGGUCGUAUCCAACAGGACGGACGGUAGCCCGGCUAAGCCUGAUCGCCGAGACGGUCGUUGGUUGUGGUCUGCUGUUCCUUACUGUGCAUCUACGUCCGACUGCGUCACGACCGAACGACACGCUGACAUACAGCUUACUGAAAGCCGCGUCCGACUUCGGUCGGACGGCCCCUUUAGUUCCGCUUGUCUAGUCGUGUUGUUCGGGUAAAGACCGUACCCGCCUCUACUCAUGCAGUGUCGUAUCUUGGUUACGGAUUCUCUGUCGUGCUUGCACGGCUUGGUAACCUUGGCCUCUACACGGUGCUGUUUUGAGAUGGUACACAUGGUCAGUGGCGUCCGAGUCUGCCACCCAACCGACCCGUCUUGAAACACGGACCAAGGAGUCUAACAUGUGCGCAAGUCAUGGGGUUCUCUAAACCCACAGGCGUAAUGAAAGUAAAGGUCGGCUCUGUCGGCUGAAGUGGGAUCCCUCUCGCGGGGGCGCACCACUGCCCCAUCGAACCUGCUCGCCAGGUCGGUGGCGGAAGAGCGUACAUGUUGGGACCCGAAAGAUGGUGAACUAUGCCUGAGCAGGAUGAAGCCAGAGGAAACUCUGGUGGAGGUCCGUAGCGGUUCUGACGUGCAAAUCGAUCGUCAGACUUGGGUAUAGGGGCGAAAGACUAAUCGAACCAUCUA
This 757-nucleotide ribosomal RNA is filed under the name Tylolaimophorus minor. Its description in RNAcentral is "eukaryotic LSU rRNA". It matches the Rfam family "Eukaryotic large subunit ribosomal RNA", at positions 360 to 946 of the family's 3401-position model. Lineage: Eukaryota; Metazoa; Nematoda; Enoplea; Triplonchida; Diphtherophoridae. The record is from RNAcentral.